This 2280-nucleotide long non-coding RNA is filed under the name Arachis ipaensis. Its description in RNAcentral is "long non-coding RNA (AIPA_LNC000229)". Lineage: Eukaryota; Viridiplantae; Streptophyta; Magnoliopsida; Fabales; Fabaceae. The record is from RNAcentral.
GAACAUGGUUUACUCCAAUAAUCAAUAUCACCAAGUUGUUUUUCUAUGGCCACAGAGAAAAGCUUUAAAUUAAAACAAAUAAAAGAAUUUAUCCAUCUCAUGACAAAGAUAAUGAGAGGAGCAAAACAGUACAUUUAUUGUUUGUAUCAAAAAAAUAAAAAUAAUCAAAGAGUAAUAUUUUAGCAAUCUUAUUACAAUACCAACAAAAGAAAAAAUAGUCAAUCACUUAUAUAAGAAUCAAGUGAGAGAAUAUACCACACCAACUUAAACUGCUUAACGCACUAAAUAGAUAAAUUUCUCAUCUCAUAAACUCUCGCACAUUAUUUCAUUUAAUAUAAGACUAAGUAUCAUUCACACUUGUUACUUAUCAAUACUUACCCAACAGAAAAGCAACUUAUUUUUAUUGUCUCUUAUCAAAUGAUCAACAAUUCUUUUAACAUGUUAUUACAAACAGAAAACCAAAACUGAUUAUUGAAAUAUAUUUUGAAACAAAAUGGAAGAAUACUACAAACUAAAUCAAGAAAGUUAUAAUUAUUUGUUGAAAAGAUAGUUGAAGAGUACCUUUUUUCGAUAAAGGUUUGAUGCAAAUGUUUCGUGAGUCAAUUUAGAAAACAUAUUGCAAGCAAACAAUUAUUGAAGGAUAUAAUGCAUGACACAGAUAUGUAAAUCUAGCACCUUGUAAGCUCUAAAUAAGAUGACUAUUUCUUGCCAUUGCAACUAUGAAACUCCAGAACAAUAAACAAUGUAAAUAAUAAAUAAUUAACCCAGAAAGAAAGUGAAUGAAGAAACUUCUUCAUAUCAAGCUUCAUCAGUCACCAAACCCAACAGCAGCAUAGGUUACAAUUUAACCAAGCCAGUUAAUACCCCUUUUUUCAAUUUCAAAACAGCGACCUCAUGGUGCAACCUUUGGGACAACACCCUGACCUUCUUGCACGACACAAAGAAAAUCAUUAGACAUCACAUGUAAUCACUGAUAACAACAACAUAAUACUGUGAUAACAACAUAUAAAACUAAAGUAGCAGAAUUUCAAAUAGCAAAAACACCUAAUGAAAACAACCCAAAGCAUAUGAAAGCAAGGCAGCAAAACAAAUCCCCUUGCAUAAUUUAAUGUCAUAAUUCAAUUUGGUUGACUGAAAUAAUAAAGCAAUAUAAGAAAAUUAAAAUGUUAAUCAGUUGAGCAAUAUUUAGAUAUCGAUAGCUAAAAUUGAAGUAUAAGAGAAACUAACAAACGAUUCUACAUUGAUGUAUAAAUUGAGCAAGAUAUUCACCUUUGCCAGUUCAAAAUCAGCAAGGUUGACAAAUCCGUGUGCAUCCACCAAUAUAUUUGAACAUUUACUAUCCCUUUAGAUUAGGAAAAUUCAAAGUAUGAAUGUAAAACUCAAAGUGAGAUCAACCUUGCUUCUAUAUUAAAAGGAAAAAUAGACAAUUUUUAGUGUAACCCCUGCAAUAAUGAAGAAACUUAAAAUAAUAAAAAUAAGUAACUUACUUCUACAUACAAAGAAAAAUGAUGCGGAGAAGAAGUGACCAGCGCCUAAUGAUUAGACAUAUUGACAAUAAAGAAGAUGAGUUUCCUGCUUCUACAUACAAAAAAAAUUAUGGCCAGUUUCUAUUGUAGCCCUGCAAAAUUACCAAGAAGUGACCAGCACCAGUGAUAGAAAAUGUAAAUGAGAAAGUAGUACGAAGCAAAAUUUAUAUAAUAUUUUACUUAAGAAAAAUAUUAUCUACAAAAUUAUAAGAAAAAGUCAAGUUUCUUAUGUAUAUUUGAUAGGGGCUGAGACAUGUCUGUCUAUAUACUUCAAUCACAAUUUCAAAAGGAGAAGGCAUACCUUAAACUUCGCAGCUCUAAAGGAACCUUCACAUGAAUAGAAAAAAAAACCCAAAAAAAUUGGAUCCUUUCUGAAACACAAAAUAGAGAAAACCCAUCAUAGAAAAAAGGAAAAAAUCAGAAUCACUUGUAACAAUCCAGGCGCAAAUGAAGACAUAAAGUUUUCACAUUUCAAUCGAAAAAGAUAAAAAAACAAAACGAUAAACUUUUGGUUUACGAAGAAUCAAAGAGCAAUUAAAGUUACCGUUUUGAACGGAAUGGAGGAAUGAGAAAAGCUGGGAGAAUGCUUGUGUUGUUUUUGUUGUAUCCGAAAAAGAAGGAAUAUUUGAAGAAGGAGGUAUUGUUCUGUGUUACAAAGAAAUCAGAAUAGAUAGAAAGAGACAUGGCAUGGACCUCAGAGAUGGCAGAAGAGAGGGAAAAAUGCAGAAAAGCAGCAAAAAACAAAGAGAUUUAU